GACGAACGCUGGCGGUGUGCUUCACACAUGCAAGUCGAACGAGGUAGCAAUACCUAGUGGCGGACGGGUGAGUAACGCGUGGGAAUCUGCCUUUGGAUGGGGGAUAACGGGUCGAAAGACUCGCUAAUACCGCAUAUGACGAAAGUUGAAAGGAGUAAUCCGUCUAAAGAUGAGCCCGCGUCCGAUUAGCUAGUUGGUAGAGUAAAAGCCUACCAAGGCGACGAUCGGUAGCUGGUCUGAGAGGAUGAUCAGCCACAAUGGGACUGAGACACGGCCCAUACUCCUACGGGAGGCAGCAGUGGGGAAUUUUACGCAAUGGGCGAAAGGCUGACGUAGCGACACCGCGUGAGCGAAGAAGCCCCUUGGGGUGUAAAGCUCUGUCAGCUGGAACGAAAAAAAUGACGGUACCAGCAGAGGAAGCAUCGGCUAACUACGUGCCAGCAGCCGCGGUAAUGUCUGUACU
Molecule: ribosomal RNA, 463 nt
Filed under: uncultured bacterium
Lineage: Bacteria
Description: bacterial SSU rRNA
Rfam family: Bacterial small subunit ribosomal RNA
Source: RNAcentral